CGAGACUCCAUCUCAAAAAAAAAAAAGCAUCCCUAACUGCUCAUUCUGCUGUCAAAAUCGAUGCGGGGUCAAAACAGAAAAAUUUCAGAAGAGAAUUUAGAGCUACAGCCUGUGAGAAACAGCAAAAAGUGAAAACCAAAGACCUGCUUAGGAAAACCCUCAUUGAAGAGAUGGGGAGGAAGGGCCUGAGCCCCCUACUCCAUUCCACAAUCAUGCAUCUGGAGGUAGAAGACAGAAAAGAGACUAAGAGCGGGGAAUAGACUCAACCAUUCUAGAAUACAGCCCGGAUGUGUUACAGGAUCCUGCCCUGGAGUCCUCGCGCAAUCAAUGUUUAUGCUGUGCUCUGCUGGGCUGUGCUGGGCUGGCCUGGGCUGUGCUGUGCUGUGCUGUGCUGUGCUGUGCUGUGCUGUGCUGUGCUGGGCUGUGCUGGGUUGUGCUAGGCGGUACUAGGUGUUGCUAGGCUCCUGCCCCAUCACAAAUGGUUGCAACAAGAUUGAUUAGAAAGGGUACCAUUAGAUUCAGCUGACUGGUUCAAUUAGGAGAAAGGUUCAUCACUCUUAACACAUCAAAUCUCCCCCUAUGUCAGUCUUUCACUGACAUCAGGGGCUGGGCUUCUGUCUCCUCUUCUCUUCUCUGAUCAUUGCCUGUGCAGAAGACAUGGAACUUUUGUCUGUUCAUUAAUAGAGUCCAGUGGUAAGUUUUCCCAGGCCAGCCCUGGUGGUCAAAUGCUCUGGAUUCGAUGCCUAUCCAUUCUCUCCUCACCCUGCAACCACCGGUCCCCAAUUCCUACAAGUCUGGAGCUGGUUUCAAGUUCAUGAAUGUGACCUAGAGAGUAGCAACCUCCCAGCCUCCGGCAUAACCCAUGUUCUCUCUGACUCUGCUUGGGCCACGUGGAUAAUAAAUCUGGCUCCUCCUUGAAGCAGCCACUCACCCAUCAGCAUGGGCAGCCAUGCAAAUUUUCCUGCAGAUUUCACAGGGGAGACAGAGCAGUUUGUAAGUUGCAUGCUCCACAGCACACAGCCUUAAUCCCCUUGUUUGAUUUUUAAAAUUCUCCCCAAGGCGCACCUUGAUUGCUUUGCCUCUGGGACUCUUCCUUUCUGACCUGGCCCUUUGACAUCUUUUAAUUCCUCUCAUUCAUGCCUUUCUUGAUUAAAAGAAGAAGAGAAAAAAAGCUAGAUCUGGAGUGUGAAGCUUGAGAUUCUUUUUUUCUGUUCUGUAAAAUGGGGAUGAUAAUAAUUCCUACCUCAUAAGGUGAGAGGGAGAAUUAAAUGAGAAUUAAGUAAAUAUAAACUCUAAAGUAAUGUUUUGCAAAUAUGACCCAUGAAAUCAAUUUAAUGGGUUGCUACCUGCAUUAACAUGAAGUAAAAAAGAAUAGAAAAUAUCAGAGUGUAUUGCAUGUAGUAAGCAUAAGUUUUGUGAGUCUUUUCUUCUGAUUUUGUAUGUGUAUGUGCAUGUGUGUGUAUGUGUGUGUGACCACUGGCAAUGUAAAAUGGACUCUGCU
RNAcentral lists this long non-coding RNA (1501 nucleotides) under Homo sapiens (human). Its description in RNAcentral is "HSALNT0168627". The record is from RNAcentral. Lineage: Eukaryota; Metazoa; Chordata; Mammalia; Primates; Hominidae.